UGGGGAGGUGCAGCUCACUAAUUCAGAUUCUGUAUGUUGAUAACAGGAAUGCAACGGCACCUGGGCUCCUGCUAGCGACCGUGAGCUGAUGCAUUUAUCUGGUGUGGUGCUGACCUUCUGCGGCCAAGUGGGAACCAAAGACACAUCUACUCUUGUGGUGCACAAGCUCUCCAGUGGCAAGAGGAGCGACAGACACCUGGACUGGACUGCGCACAGGUCCCGCGGACCCAGUGUGCUCUGCUGCCUGGCUGAACAGUGCCUUAAACUGGGAGCCCCUGACUAUGUGGUCAUUAGAAAACCCAUGACAGUCGGGGUGAGAGGACAACUGCACUCUGUACUCCUCCACGUUCGCCUGGAAUUCAGCUGCUCCACCUGGUCUGCUGUGCUGUGGGGAUGCUAUGUUUUCCAGGUGAAAUCCCACCGAUCACACGGCUGAAGGUCCCAGAGGCUCGACGUGGGGACGGGAUCGCACGGGGUGCUGGCCCAGUGGGACCGAGGUAAGGGCUCCAGAGGCAGGGCGGCGCGGGGGAACCCAUGGUCUCGCCCCGGGAGGGGGAAACGCGGACUAGAUUGGGCUUGCUGGCUUUGUGAUAGUGGGAGAGAACAGGAAUGCACCCAGUCUCAGCCUGCCAGCUUUCUGAUAAGGACGUGUGGGUACAGAGGCAGAAGCAGUCAGUUUCUGAGUGGCUCAGCCAGGAAAGCACUCAUUUCUAAUGGGGGUUUGAUGCCAGGUCCCAUAGUCCGGAGAUCACUGGUUGAAGAUGGGAUACGUCAUGCGCCAGAUACUGCAAGCAAAGUGAAAAGCUGGCCAGCCUUUCUUAUAUAAUUUAUACACACUUAGAUAAUGAAAAAACCUGUAACACAGAUUACCCUUUUAAGUUUUGUUUUCGCUGUGUGCAUAUGGAUUGCAAUGCAGCUAUUCAUUUCCUUAUGCAUUUGAAUGUGCUCUUUCAUACAGUACGUAGAUGUUUAAACAGAAUUGUGUCAUAGCCUGGCUCUCGCGUUCACAGCUGGAAUGAACUUCUGAAUAUAUAUUUAAAAAGUCUCAUUCUCUGCUGAAGUGUUUGGCCUCUGGCACAGAUCCCUAUGUUCCUCCACGUUCCUGGCACUUCACUGAGAAUUCAAUGUAAACUGUGAUCUGCUCCUUUUCCCACACUCCUCUGCACAUCUCCGCAGGCCAGGCUCAUGCUGUUUACUUUAGUUAAUGAAGACCCACAAUUCAAACACCUCAAAAAGGGCAGUUUUUGUGUUGCCAUUAGACAGCAGAGAGAAACACCAGCUUCAAAAUAUUGUAUUUCCCGCCAAACACAGAGAUUCUGGAGGAGAUGUGUUUGCAUGCAGAGCUCAGAAAC
This 1352-nucleotide long non-coding RNA is filed under the name Lepisosteus oculatus (spotted gar). Its description in RNAcentral is "lncRNA (ENSLOCG00000022594.1)". Lineage: Eukaryota; Metazoa; Chordata; Actinopteri; Semionotiformes; Lepisosteidae. The record is from RNAcentral.